GGACUACCAGGGUUUCUAAUCCUGUUCGCUCCCCACGCUUUCGCUCCUCAGCGUCAGUAUCGGCCCAGAGAUCCGCCUUCGCCACCGGUGUUCCUCCUGAUAUCUGCGCAUUCCACCGCUACACCAGGAAUUCCGAUCUCCCCUGCCGAACUCAAGCCCGCCCGUAUCGGAGGCAGACCCGCGGUUGAGCCGCGGGCUUUCACCUCCGACGCGACGAGCCGCCUACGAGCUCUUUACGCCCAAUAAAUCCGGACAACGCUCGCGCCCUACGUAUUACCGCGGCUGCUGGCAC
RNAcentral lists this ribosomal RNA (292 nucleotides) under uncultured bacterium. Its description in RNAcentral is "partial 16S ribosomal RNA". The record is from RNAcentral.